AGAGUUUGAUCAUGGCUCAGAACGAACGCUGGCGGCGUGGCUAAGACAUGCAAGUCGAACGGACUACGUAAUUGAGCAAUCGAAAGCGUAGUUAGUGGCGAAAGGGUUAGUAACGGCUAGGUAACGUACCCCGUGCUUCAGGAUAGCGUCUGGAUGCUUCGGCAUCCUUCCGAAAGGGGCGGUAAUACUGGAUGACAUCAUCGGUCGAUGGGUCGAUGAUCAAAGAUUUAUCGGCGCGGGAGCGGCCUAGUUCCUAUCAGCUUGUUGGUGAGGUAAUGGCUCACCAAGGCAAUGACGGGUAGCGGGACUGAGAGGUUGGCCCGCAACAUCGGGACUGAGACACUGCCCGGACCUCCACGGAGGGCUGCAGUAACGAAUAUUGGGCAAUGAGCGAAAGCUUGACCCAGCGACGCCGCGUGUAGGAGGAAGUCCUUCGGGAUGUAAACUACUGUCAGGGGGAAGAAAGUCCGCUUCGGCGGAUUGAUCUAACCCAGAGGAAGUCACGGCUAACUUCGUGCCAGCAGCCGCGGUAAGACGAAGGUGGCAAGCGUUGUUCGGUAUCACUGGGCUUAAAGCGUGUGUAGGCGGAAGCGUAAGCGUUUUGUGAAAUCCC
Molecule: ribosomal RNA, 613 nt
Filed under: uncultured Planctomycetota bacterium
Lineage: Bacteria; Pseudomonadati; Planctomycetota
Description: bacterial SSU rRNA
Rfam family: Bacterial small subunit ribosomal RNA
Source: RNAcentral